RNAcentral lists this ribosomal RNA (503 nucleotides) under uncultured bacterium. RNAcentral's name for it is "partial 16S ribosomal RNA". It matches the Rfam family "Bacterial small subunit ribosomal RNA", at positions 30 to 523 of the family's 1533-position model. The record is from RNAcentral.
AUUGAACGCUGGCGGCAGGCUUAACACAUGCAAGUCGAGCGGGGUGAUGGUGCUUGCACUAUCACUUAGCGGCGGACGGGUGAGUAAUGCUUAGGAAUCUGCCUAUUAGUGGGGGACAACAUCUCGAAAGGGAUGCUAAUACCGCAUACGUCCUACGGGAGAAAGCAGGGGAGCACUUGUGACCUUGCGCUAAUAGAUGAGCCUAAGUCGGAUUAGCUAGUUGGUGGGGUAAAGGCCUACCAAGGCGACGAUCUGUAGCGGGUCUGAGAGGAUGAUCCGCCACACUGGGACUGAGACACGGCCCAGGCUCCUACGGGAGGCAGCAGUGGGGAAUAUUGGACAAUGGGGGGAACCCUGAUCCAGCCAUGCUGCGUGUGUGAAGAAGGCCUUAUGGUUGUAAAGCACUUUAAGCGAGGAGGAGGCUCUUUUGGUUAAUACCCAAGAUGAGUGGACGUUACUCGCAGAAUAAGCACCGGCUAACUCUGUGCCAGCCGCCGCGGUAA